AACGAACGCUGGCGGCAUGCCUAACACAUGCAAGUCGAACGAGACCUUCGGGUCUAGUGGCGCGCGGGUGCGUAACGCGUGGGAACCUGCCCUUAGGUUCGGAAUAACUCCCCGAAAGGGGUGCUAAUACCGGAUAAUGUCUUCGGACCAAAGAUUUAUCGCCUUUGGAUGGGCCCGCGUUGGAUUAGCUAGUUGGUAGGGUAAAAGCCUACCAAGGCGACGAUCCAUAGCUGGUCUGAGAGGAUGGUCAGCCACACUGGGACUGGGACACGGCCCAGACUCCUACGGGAGGCAGCAGUGGGGAAUAUUGGACAAUGGGCGAAGGCCUGAUCCAGCAAUGCCGCGUGAGUGAUGAAGGCCUUAGGGUUGUAAAGCUCUUUUACCCGGGAUGAUAAUGACAGUACCGGGAGAAUAAGCUCCGGCUAACUCCGUG
This 433-nucleotide ribosomal RNA is filed under the name uncultured bacterium. Its description in RNAcentral is "partial 16S ribosomal RNA". It matches the Rfam family "Bacterial small subunit ribosomal RNA", at positions 29 to 507 of the family's 1533-position model. The record is from RNAcentral.